This 4001-nucleotide unclassified non-coding RNA is filed under the name Hevea brasiliensis (rubber tree). Lineage: Eukaryota; Viridiplantae; Streptophyta; Magnoliopsida; Malpighiales; Euphorbiaceae. The record is from RNAcentral.
GAUGGACUGAACUUGCCACCGCUACACGUGUGCGUUGGCUAAUCUUGGAGAGCACAGUCACCGCGGCCGGUCAAAACGCCAGCCGGCCUCCCCUUUUGAUACUGACAGCCGAUUCCAGGAGCACUCGGCUAUUUUUCAUUUUAUGGAUAGAACUACCAGAAGAGGCACCACAUCUCCUUCUGUUUGGGUUGUUUUCCACUUCCAAUAUCAGAUUAUGCAAUACUUUGACAGAUAUCUGCUUCUCUUAUGUAACUAAUUUACUAUUGACCUGGCUCUUAUAUUUCUCUGUGCAGAAAAUAUUUUGUUCGUCCCAGAUACCUCCUUUGGAAUGACCCCAUCUUGUUGAAGGAUACAAGCUUGCAUCACUUGCUUUAAAAUUUGCAAAGAUGUCCAAAAAGCUGCGAGGAAUUGGAGCAGAGAAAUCUUUGUCACUUGAGGAGCAGCUAGCUAAGGUAUAUUUAACAAUAACGUUAAGAAGCAUUUUUUAUUAUUCUUAGCAUUUUUUAUUAUUCUUACUUUAAUAGAUUCUAUAGAUUAUACUUGUUGUCAUUAUUCAAGGCAGAAGUCUUGUUGCCUUGCAUUGAUCUGCUAAAGGUAAUGUCUAUUUUUUUCCUCUAUCACACUCUAUUUUGUGAUGUUAUUUGUUCUGGUGAUUGAAACUAUAAUGUUUGUGACUUUAAAUUACAAUUUACAAUUGUGAGUCAAAUUCUAAAAACUACUGGUACAUGUUUGCUUCUUCUCUAUGGUUCCAAGUGCUGCUCUCCAAUAUGGCUUCCUGUACAAGCUACACCAGCGCCUUCAUCAAUCAUUUUGUCUUAAUAUUUAUAUUUGUCUUGCUAUUUAAAGUGUCUCCUUGAAUUAACUGUUUUCAAUACUGUUUUCCCAUUGCUUAGAAUACUGAAGGUAGCACAUUCAAGUGAUAUUAAAAGAUAAUAUUGUCUGAUUCUUAGAUUCUUUCACAAUCAAUUGAGCUUUGGAAAAUUUAGUCUCUGGAAGCCCUUAAGAUUGGCAGGGUCCUAAUUCAAUUGAAUUGUUUAGAUGUGAACUAAUUGGCUCCUUAUGUCUCCAGAUCAAUGAUAUUAGGAAGAUGAUAGGUCCUAUUGCUGACAAGCUUCCAGCAAUUUGUUCUGAUGCAUCACUAUCAAGGUAUCUCAGAGCAAGAAAUUGGAAUACAAAGAAGGCAGCCAAAAUGUUGAAAGAAACGUUGAAGUGGAGGUUGGAAUUCAAGCCUGAGAAGAUCCGAUGGGCACGUACUUAAUGGCUCAAACUUGUUCUUUAUUGCUUUUGAAUGUUUAAGGGGCUUGAUGCCUUGAUCACCAAAGAGAAGAGAAGGAAACAAAUAUUAGUCUCCUUCUGAAAUGAAAUUCAACCUAAUUGAAUUAGUGGCAGCUAUGCAUUUUGAGUCCUUUAGCUAGAAGGUAUCUCCAAGCAGAAUGCUUGACAGGUUUUAACUUCACACCUGGCUUUCUCCUCGUGCUCCUUGAGGAAGAUGUUUAAAGUUGGGUUUUAGGUCAAAUUUUGGAGUGGGUUACAUAUGUAGAACACGCUUCACUUUCCACACACACACACACAAUCCAACCACAACAUCAACAGGAAGAUGAUUAAAUUGCAUUGAGUACAUAUGGCUUAAAUAGUAUUUCAGUUCAUAGCAAUGUGCUAUGACUUUUGACCUUGUUAUCUUGUUCUUUUUGAUGGUAUAUUUGACCAUAUGAAAAGGUAUGAAAAAAGCAACUUUUUUUAAAGGAAAAAAAUUCUUAGAUGUUCUUAUCAAAUCUAAUUAUUUAGUGUUUCGCACUGCUUUGCCCAUCUGCGCAUGGAUGUUACAGUUCCUUGCAUGGCCUUCUGUGCUAACUGAUACAAUAUUUUGUCUUGCAUGUAGGAAGAUGUUACUCAUGAAGCUCAAACUGGAAAAGUCUACAAAGCUAAUUAUUCUGACAAGAAGGGAAGGACUGUUCUUGUCAUGAGACCUGGUUUUCAGAAUACAACUGCAUUAGGAGGACAGAUCAAGCACUUGGUUUAUUGUAUGGAAAAUGCCAUAAUGACUAUGAAUCCAGAUCAAGAGCAAAUGGUGUGGUUAAUUGAUUUUCAACGGUGGACAAUGGGUAGCAUAUCAGUGAAGGCAGCUCGAGAAACAGCUAAAAUAUUGCAGAAUCAUUAUCCUGAGCGACUGGGCCUUGCAAUCCUCUACAAUCCCCCCAAAGUCUUUGAGUCCUUCUGGACGAUGGUGAAACCAUUCAUUGAGCCCAAGACAUACAAGAAAGUGAAGUUCAUCUAUUCUAAUGACCUAGAGAGCCGAAAGACAAUGGAAGAGUUAUUUGAUAUGGAUAAACUGGAUUCUGAAUUUGGGGGAAAAAGCUCAGCUGGUUUUGAUUACGAAGCUUAUGGGCAAAGGAUGAGGGAGGAAGAGAAGAAAGUUUCUGAUUCAAAUAUCUCUGGACCUUCAUCACCAGUGCUUUCUGUCACAAUGGAAUCACAGCAGUCAGGAUCAUUGGCUGCAGCUGGUAGGGCUUCUGAUGAGGAUGACUCUUCCUCUGUUGAUGAAGCUACUUCAAACUUGGAGGGUCUUGAUGAAGAAACACAAGAUCAGCCUUCUAAUUGCGAAAAUGUUGCAAAUGAUGAUGCAGCAGAAGUGGUGAAAGAGUAGAAAUAAAUUAUUUGCUGAGCAUGAUACUUCCAAUCCAGACAUUGUUGAUAAGCACAAGGCUCGGGACUUCACCUGAAAAGAUUUUGCAAAAUGUGAACUUGAAGCAGAAAGAGAUGCAAAACUCAGUUGAGUUGGCAGAAGAUGUAAUGAUGAGUCCUGGUAAUUUUGUUAUUCUUUCCAAUUCCUGAAGAUGCAUAGUUGCACCUUAUGCUUAUAAUAGCUUGAACAUUAAUAUUUGACUGAACAGUUGAUUUCUUGUGAAAAAAAAAAUUACUGUUAGCCAACUGCUUCAGUCGAGUGGCAGAAAUCUUCAACAUACAGGUGUCAGCCUCGAAAUGUUAUCCAUGGAUUUCUUUUAAAUUUUCUUUCAUUGGAUAUAAUUUAAAAACAAAGUAUUAAAGGAUGUCUAAGAGUUGCUAGUGAAACAAGAUAAAUACAUAUUGAAAUAGAAACUGAUGAUUUACCACGAAUGAAUGUGGCUUUGAGAGAAAAAAGUUUAAAGUUUGGUGUUUCAAUAGCAUGUCUUUGCUGAAAAGAGAGAUGGUAUGAGAUUGGAUGGCUUCCCCUGAUUACCUGCAUUGUCACAGCUUUGAAGCCAUAGAUAUCCAGUUGUAAUCCGAAAUAUCUAGUGGUUCUGCAGACGAUUUCAGUACUCGAGUGUAAAUAAAAAGGUUAUGGCUUUGAUAAGUUUAACAACUGUGUUAUUUUCUGAAGUCUCAUAUAUUGUUAUUGAAAGCCUUCCAGAUGUUUACAUUAUUCAUCUCCAGAGGAAAGGUGCCGUUGAGUUGAUUAAAGAAGACGGGAGAAUAUUUUCCUUUCACGAGAAGAAAAUAUUAUGUCAUAGCCUACUAUUCACAAAAAAGAUUUCCCAUCCUUGUUAAAGGACAAGUAGUUACUCCUACAUUCUCUUAAACAAUUUCUUACACUUUUACCUUCUCAUAAACAACUAAAACCAUAAUUAUUUGAUCAAUUUAGGUGGCAGAAGGAGCAGAGGAAGGAUGGUGACAAAUAAGUGGAAUGAAGAAAAUUGGAUGAAACUCAUUGUGAUGGGAAAAGAGAAUGUUUGAAGUGGCUGUCAUUUCUGCAAAUCCAAAACCUCCAUCCUCAUGUCCCUCGGGAUCCAGCCUGCCUUUCUUUGGGAGGAGGUUUUCAAGAUUUAAAAAUCUAAAAUUUGUGUUUGGGAGAACAUAAGGGUUUUUAAAAGUAAGGUUUGUGUUUGGAUUGAGGGAUUUGAUCUAUGAAUUUAGAUUUAGACUAAAUAUGGAUAUUGUAAAUGAAGAUAGAUUUAGAUUUUGGCUUAAAUUUAUUUUAAAUAUAUUCUAUUAUAAUCAAAUGUGUCAGCUCUAUAUUAUUGUAA